GUCUCUUUGAAGAAAUAAUAAUAAAGAGUUUGGCCUGCUCAGUGAAAUUUUUAACAGCUGCGGUAUUAUAACUGUACUAAGGUAGCAUAAUAAUUUGCCUUAUAAAUUGAGGCUAGAAUGAAUGGUUUGACGAAAAUUAUACUGUCUCUAUUUUAAUUGAUAGAAAUUAAUUUUUAAAGUGAAAAAGCUUAAAUUAUUUAAAGGGACGAGAAGACCCUAUUGAGCUUUAUAUUAGUUAUAAUAAAAUAUUAUUUAUUUGAUUAAAUUAAUAUUAUAUUUAUUAUGUUUAAUUUUGAUUGGGGUGAUCAAGGAAUAAGAUAUAUUAUUUAACUUCCUUAUAAGAAUUGUUUUUUAGAAUAAUUAACCAAUGAUAUUGCUUAUAUGAUAAGUUACCAUAGGGAUAACAGCGUAAUUUUUUUGGAGAGUUCAUAUUAAAAAAAAAGAUUGCGACCUCGAUGUUGGAUUAAAAUAACCAUAUGGUGAAGAGGCUUUAUAUGGUGAAUCUGUUCGAUUUUUAAAAUUUU
RNAcentral lists this ribosomal RNA (524 nucleotides) under Muusoctopus eureka. Its description in RNAcentral is "Benthoctopus eureka partial 16S ribosomal RNA". It matches the Rfam family "Bacterial large subunit ribosomal RNA", at positions 1819 to 2597 of the family's 2925-position model. Lineage: Eukaryota; Metazoa; Mollusca; Cephalopoda; Octopoda; Octopodidae. RNAcentral also lists the same sequence under 2 other names. The record is from RNAcentral.